Molecule: ribosomal RNA, 703 nt
Filed under: uncultured Glomerales
Lineage: Eukaryota; Fungi; Glomeromycota; Glomeromycetes; Glomerales; Glomeraceae
Description: LSU rRNA
Rfam family: Eukaryotic large subunit ribosomal RNA
Source: RNAcentral
GCAUAUCAAUAAGCGGAGGAAAAGAAACUAACAAGGAUUCCCUUAGUAACGGCGAGUGAAGAGGGAAGAGCUCAAAUUUUAAAUCUAUCAUGUUUGUACAUGAUCGAGUUGUAAUUUGAAGAAGCGUUUUCUCGUACUUUUAUGCAAUCAGUAUAAGUUCUCUUGGAACAGGACAUCAUAGAGGGUGAUAAUCCCGUCUGUUACUGGUUGUGAGGUUCGUUAUGAUACGCUUUCAAAGAGUCGAGUUGUUUGGGAUUGCAGCUCCAAAUGGGUGGUAAACAUCACCUAAGGCUAAAUAUUUGCGAGAGACCGAUAGCGAACAAGUACCGUGAGGGAAAGAUGAAAAGAACUUUGAAAAGAGAGUUAAAAAGUAUGUGAAAUUGUUGAAAGGGAAACGAUUGAAGUCAGUCGUGCAGUCAUCAAUUCAGCGGUUAAUAUUUUUAUGUUUCCGUGUAAUUUGGUGUCUGUUGGUUAGCAUCAAUUUUGAUUGUUAUAAAAAGGUUAAGGGGAUGUGGCUCCUUCGGGAGUGUUAUAACCCUUAGCGUAAUGUAACGAUUAGGAUUGAGGUUUGCAACGAAUACCUUUUAGGGCAGUUUCACCUGGCCUCUCGUGGAAUUAUAGAUAGUUAAGAGCAUGCUCUUACUGUCUAUGAUUCUACGAAAAGGUUGGAGUGUAAAACUAAUUCGUUAAGGAUGUUGACGUA